This 468-nucleotide ribosomal RNA is filed under the name uncultured bacterium. Its description in RNAcentral is "partial 16S ribosomal RNA". It matches the Rfam family "Bacterial small subunit ribosomal RNA", at positions 28 to 507 of the family's 1533-position model. The record is from RNAcentral.
GACGAACGCUGGCGGCGUGCUUAACACAUGCAAGUCGAACGGAAAGACGCGGCGUUUGUUGGUUUCUCGAUUGGCGAGCGGGGGAGUAACACGUGAGUAUACUGCACUUGACUUUGUGAGAACUUUAGGAAACUGGGGCGAAUACCGGGUAGGAGCUCCUGCAGCGUAUGGUGGGUUGGAAAGUUUCGGCGGUUGUGGAUGGUCUCGAGGCUUAUCAGCUUGUUGGUGGGGUAGUGGCUUACCAAGGCUUUGACGGGUAGGCGGCCUGAGAGGGUGACCGGCCACAUUGGGACUGAGAUACGGCCCAGACUCCUACGGGAGGCAGCAGUGGGGAAUAUUGCAAAAUGGGCGGAAGCCUGAUGCAGCAACGCCGCGUGCGGGAUGACGGCCUUCGGGUUGUAAACCGCUUUCGCAUGUGACGAAGCGUGAGUGACGGUAAUGUGUAAAGAAGCACCGGCUAACUACGUG